UGUAUCGGAAGCCUGACGAGGAUGAGAACCUCCGGGGGCAGGAGGUUCGACCCGAGCGCAGCGAGAGAACGUUGCGUCAGCAACGGCCCGCAGGGCGAGCCACGCAGUGGCGAGUCAUCCUCUAUCACCGACCA
This 134-nucleotide small RNA is filed under the name Salmonella enterica. RNAcentral's name for it is "RtT sRNA". It matches the Rfam family "RtT RNA". Rfam says of the family: This family represents a bacterial cis-regulatory element known as RtT RNA. Lineage: Bacteria; Pseudomonadati; Pseudomonadota; Gammaproteobacteria; Enterobacterales; Enterobacteriaceae. The record is from RNAcentral.